CUCUCUCUCUCUCUUCUUCCUUCUUCCUUUGGACACAAAUUCCAUUUUACUUUUCAUUUUUUUCCACCAUUUUUAAACUCUCGAACUCCUCGCAUUCUCUCUCCUUUCCUCCUCUUCUUCCUCCUCCUCAUCUUCUUCGUCUCGCCAGAUCUCUCUCUGUAAUUGGGGUCAAGUCCGCCGGGCAAUCCCGGCGUUUGCCCCUUCCCCGGGCAUCUCGCCGGCAAUGCCGGCUCAGAUCUACUGUCGUUACCUUGAUGCGCGACUCCGUGUGCUCUUUCUAAUCCUCACACCAACAUUCGGCGGACGAUACCUGUAAUUGAGAGAUGGAGGUGGAGAAAAGACGGACAAAGGGAGGCUUCCUACAGUUUUUCGACUGGAAUAGCAAGUCCAGGAAGAAGCUGUUCUCAAACAGUCCCGAUAUACUUGGUGCUGGAAGGACAAAAAAAUUGAAGAACUGGAGGAUAACCAGCAGCAGCAGCUAUAUCAAAUAAUCAGUACCUGCAGGAAUUCCCAUGACACACAAUAUCAAUCCAGUAAAUGGAAGAACUCAAUAAGACUCUUGAGGUACAACACGGUGCUCAGCUAUAUCAAAUAAUCAGUACCUGCAGGAAUUCCCAUGACAGACAAUGUCAAUCCAACAAAUGGAAGAACUCAGUAAGAUUCUUGAGGUACAACACAGUGCUCAGCUAUAUCAAAUAAUCAGUACCUGCAGGAAUUCCCAUGACACACAAUGUCAAUCCAGCAAAUGGAAGAACUCAGUAAGACUCCUGAGGUACAACACGGUGCUCAUUACGGCAUUGGUAAAACCAAUUAAUGGUGACAAGUUUCUUUAGAACACAUAAAGCCCACUGCACGAGAACAACAAAUUAAUUGAUAAAUACAGUUUAUCUCUCGAGAU
Molecule: long non-coding RNA, 898 nt
Organism: Eucalyptus grandis
Lineage: Eukaryota; Viridiplantae; Streptophyta; Magnoliopsida; Myrtales; Myrtaceae
Exons: 3
Source: RefSeq, a predicted model, not a curated record